This 612-nucleotide ribosomal RNA is filed under the name Leuconostoc sp. RNAcentral's name for it is "bacterial SSU rRNA". It matches the Rfam family "Bacterial small subunit ribosomal RNA", at positions 78 to 676 of the family's 1533-position model. Lineage: Bacteria; Bacillati; Bacillota; Bacilli; Lactobacillales; Lactobacillaceae. The record is from RNAcentral.
GCUUGCACCUUUCAAGCGAGUGGCGAACGGGUGAGUAACACGUGGAUAACCUGCCUCAAGGCUGGGGAUAACAUUUGGAAACAGAUGCUAAUACCGAAUAAAACUUAGUAUCGCAUGAUAUCAAGUUAAAAGGCGCUACGGCGUCACCUAGAGAUGGAUCCGCGGUGCAUUAGUUAGUUGGUGGGGUAAAGGCUUACCAAGACGAUGAUGCAUAGCCGAGUUGAGAGACUGAUCGGCCACAUUGGGACUGAGACACGGCCCAAACUCCUACGGGAGGCUGCAGUAGGGAAUCUUCCACAAUGGGCGCAAGCCUGAUGGAGCAACGCCGCGUGUGUGAUGAAGGCUUUCGGGUCGUAAAGCACUGUUGUAUGGGAAGAAAUGCUAAAAUAGGGAAUGAUUUUAGUUUGACGGUACCAUACCAGAAAGGGACGGCUAAAUACGUGCCAGCAGCCGCGGUAAUACGUAUGUCCCGAGCGUUAUCCGGAUUUAUUGGGCGUAAAGCGAGCGCAGACGGUUGAUUAAGUCUGAUGUGAAAGCCCGGAGCUCAACUCCGGAAUGGCAUUGGAAACUGGUUAACUUGAGUGUUGUAGAGGUAAGUGGAACUCCAUGGGU